AUGCUUCAGGACCCGGAGAAAAAGCCAAAAUGCUUCUGUGCAGAGAGGGUUUGGGGUGAGCAAACGAGAGCAGAUGGAAAUGCAUUGCCUGUAAAUGGGAGAGGCAGAGGUCUGCAGAGCCAGGAGCUUCACCCUGUGAGGAGCCCGGCUGGGUGUGAAAAAGGGUCUCAGUGCAAGCUGAGCAGAGGAAGGGGGAAGACGUGUGGCAGAGGGAGGCUGUGUCUAAGCACAGUUGUUCAGGCACCUCCAGGAGGCAAUAGCAGCCCUUUUAAUCCAGAAGAAACCAGCAGAGCCUCCCCUCCUGCCUGGGAGGCUGACAAAGGGAGCUCCCGGAGGCAGAAGUCCUCUCUCUUCUGAAAAGCUCGGGGAAGUUCCCUGCCAGUCACCGGAGACAGUCAGAGUUUCCAUCGUCUUUAUCUUCAGUGUGCUGUCGCCUGGGUCUGCCCGGCUCUCCUUCCUCUGUACUUACCCCCCAGCGGCAAAUAACUCCGACUCCCUGGUUUUAUGAACAGUGACGGAGGUUUAACACCCACAAAGGCUUUCAUUUCCCCUAUUGGCAUUUAAUCACAGGUCUUGUUCACUGGCCUGCUUAGGAAAAAAAAAAGGGAAAACAGCAGGAAAAUGCAUCUCCCAAGCAAAGUGGCUGCUGUUGUGUGCCAGGGAUGCUUGGUCAGCGCGUUUGCAGCUGUGCUCGGGGCAGGGUUACAGUGCCCAGCUGGGUCCUGCCACUGAGGCAGGCAGGAGGGGGAUGCAUGGGAACUGCAGAAUGUUUUACAGCAGCGAGGGACUCAAAUAGGCUCGAUGUUAGUUAAAAUAAUGCUCAGCAAAACCCUCCUACCUGGCAAUGCAAGCAAACUCCAUCUGGUGAGAAAACAUUUAAGACUUGUACUUAAAAUGCACGUCGCUACCAAAGUCCCGAAAUAGAAUUGCCUUUACCUAAUCGCAGCACUGUACGACUUGAAGGCUUCAGAAACAGUUAAAUGUGUGUCCAGAGAAAAGGUAUUACCAGGGUAAUUGGGCUAUAAACCAGAACAUAGACAUGGAGGGACUCUGUCUGGCAACACCACGGUAAUCUGGAGAGCAGAAUUUGAUUCUCUGUAAUCCUGGGCUGCGUGUGUUGCUGCAUUAAAAAAUUUCUCAGUGGCAUUGUACAUGCCUGAAAAGCAAUGUAAUAUUUUAACGAGAAAUUUCUCCUAUUACAACCCUGUGUUUAGCAUAGCUCUUUCCCGAGUCCUCUGGAUGAUUGUUUGCAAGUAUCUGAUUGUCAGGAAGAAAAGGUAAUUGUGGAAAGAAAAUGAGAGACUCGAGAAAACUAUUUUGGAAGUUGAGCAGAAUUGUGGCAGCACGGCUGAUUGCC
RNAcentral lists this long non-coding RNA (1357 nucleotides) under Anas platyrhynchos platyrhynchos (common mallard). Its description in RNAcentral is "lncRNA (ENSAPLG00000022661.1)". Lineage: Eukaryota; Metazoa; Chordata; Aves; Anseriformes; Anatidae. The record is from RNAcentral.